RNAcentral lists this transfer RNA (58 nucleotides) under Urocitellus parryii (Arctic ground squirrel). Its description in RNAcentral is "Spermophilus parryii (Arctic ground squirrel) tRNA". It matches the Rfam family "tRNA", at positions 8 to 63 of the family's 71-position model. Rfam says of the family: Transfer RNA (tRNA) molecules are approximately 80 nucleotides in length. Their secondary structure includes four short double-helical elements and three loops (D, anti-codon, and T loops). Further hydrogen bonds mediate the characteristic L-shaped molecular structure. tRNAs have two regions of fundamental functional importance: the anti-codon, which is responsible for specific mRNA codon recognition, and the 3' end, to which the tRNAs corresponding amino acid is attached (by aminoacyl-tRNA synthetases). tRNAs cope with the degeneracy of the genetic code in two manners: having more than one tRNA (with a specific anti-codon) for a particular amino acid; and 'wobble' base-pairing, i.e. permitting non-standard base-pairing at the 3rd anti-codon position. The record is from Rfam by way of RNAcentral. Lineage: Eukaryota; Metazoa; Chordata; Mammalia; Rodentia; Sciuridae. RNAcentral also lists the same sequence under 2 other names.
UAGCUCAGUUGGUAGAGUGAUUGCCUCACAUGCACAAGGCCCUGGGUUCAAUCCCCAG